This 311-nucleotide ribosomal RNA is filed under the name Albinaria hippolyti. Its description in RNAcentral is "partial large subunit ribosomal RNA". Lineage: Eukaryota; Metazoa; Mollusca; Gastropoda; Stylommatophora; Clausiliidae. The record is from RNAcentral.
UUAAAUGGCCGCAGUACCCUGACUGUGCUAAGGUAGCAUAAUCACUUGACUUUUAAAUGGAGCCUAGAAUGAAAGAAAGAACGUAGAAAAUUUGUCUCAUAUAUAUUACAUUAAACUUGAUGGGUGAGUGAAAAUACUCAUAAUUACAAAAAUAGACGAGAAGACCCUUAGAAUUUUAAAAAUAUUACAUAUAAAUAUCUUGUAAGAUUUUUUGUUGGGGCAACAAUAUUUCAUAAAAUAAGUAUAUAUUUGUAUUAGAUAUGCCGAUUAAAUAGUUAUAUAAAAAUUACCUAAGGGAUAACAGCAUAAUU